AACUACGGCCAUGCCACCCUGAACGUUCCCUGUCUCGGCUGAUCUUGGAAGCUAAGCAGGGUCAGGCCUGGUUAGUACUUGGAUAGGAGACCACCUAGGAAGACCAGAUGCUGUAGGUG
Molecule: ribosomal RNA, 119 nt
Filed under: Pteropus alecto (black flying fox)
Lineage: Eukaryota; Metazoa; Chordata; Mammalia; Chiroptera; Pteropodidae
Source: RNAcentral